UUGGAGGGCAAGUCUGGUGCCAGCAGCCGCGGUAAUUCCUGCUCCAAUAGCGUAUAUUAAAGUUGUUGCAGUUAAAAAGCUCGUAGUUGAAUUUCGGGGUCAGUAGGUUGGUCAUGCCACUGGUAUGUACUGGUCUCACUGAUUCCUCCUUCCUGAUGAGCUGUAAUGCCAUUAAUUUGGUGUUGCAGGGAAUCUGGACUGUUACUUUGAAAAAAUUAGAGUGUUUAAAGCAGGCUAACGCCUGAAUACAUUAGCAUGGAAUAAUGAAAUAGGACGUUCGAUCCUAUUUUGUUGGUUUCUAGGAUUGACGUAAUGAUUAAUAGGGAUAGUUGGGGGCAUUAGUAUUCAAUUGUCAGAGGUGAAAUUCUUGGAUUUAUUGAAGACUAACUACUGCGAAAGCAUUUGCCAAGGAUGUUCUCAUUAAUCAAGAACGAAAGUUAGGGGAUCGAAGACGAUCAGAUACCGUCGUAGUCUUAACCAUGAACUAUGCCGACUAGGGAUCGGAUGACGUUAAUUUUUUAAUGACUCAUUCGGCGCCUUACGGGAAACCAAAGUGUUUGGGUUC
RNAcentral lists this ribosomal RNA (565 nucleotides) under uncultured Glomeromycotina. RNAcentral describes it as "SSU rRNA". It matches the Rfam family "Eukaryotic small subunit ribosomal RNA", at positions 548 to 1114 of the family's 1831-position model. Lineage: Eukaryota; Fungi; Glomeromycota. The record is from RNAcentral.